GCCGAAGUGGCGGAAUUGGCAGACGCGCUGGACUCAAACUCCAGUGAGGCUCACACCUCGUGCGGGUUCGACCCCCGCCUUCGGCACCA
Molecule: transfer RNA, 89 nt
Filed under: bacterium
Lineage: Bacteria
Also listed under: 4 other names
Description: tRNA-Leu
Rfam family: tRNA
About the family: Transfer RNA (tRNA) molecules are approximately 80 nucleotides in length.
Source: RNAcentral